RNAcentral lists this ribosomal RNA (329 nucleotides) under uncultured fungus. Its description in RNAcentral is "eukaryotic LSU rRNA". The stretch from base 1 to 71 matches the Rfam family "5.8S ribosomal RNA", at positions 84 to 154 of the family's 154-position model. Lineage: Eukaryota; Fungi. The record is from RNAcentral.
GUGAGUCAUCGAAUCUUUGAACGCACCUUGCGCUCCUUGGUAUUCCGAGGAGCAUGCCUGUUUGAGUGUCAUUAAAUUCUCAACUCUCCAACUGUUGUCAUGACUGGUGGUUAGAGCUUGGACGUGAGGGUUUUGCCGGCUCCCUUGCAGAGUCUUGGCUCCCUUGAAAAAUAUUAGCGCAGCUUUGCACUGUCCGCUUCAGGUGUGAUAAUUUAUCUACGCCCGAUUAGCGACGCGCAUGAAUGGCUUUGUGCUUCUAACCGUCUCCGAAAGAGACAAUAUCUUUUGAACUUGACCUCAAAUCAGGUAGGACUACCCGCUGAACUUAA